CAGUCGCCACGGGAAUACGUAGGUGGCAAGCGUUGUCCGGAACUAUUGGGCGUAAAGGGCUCGCAGGCGGUUUCUUAAGUCUGAUGUGAAAGCCCCCGGCUCAACCGGGGAGGGUCAUUGGAAACUGGGAAACUUGAGUGCAGAAGAGGAGAGUGGAAUUCCACGUGUAGCGGUGAAAUGCGUAGAGAUGUGGAGGAACACCAGUGGCGAAGGCGACUCUCUGGUCUGUAACUGACGCUGAGGAGCGAAAGCGUGGGGAGCGAACAGGAUUAGAUACCCCGGUAGUCCCUGUCUCUUAUAC
RNAcentral lists this ribosomal RNA (301 nucleotides) under uncultured bacterium. RNAcentral's name for it is "partial 16S ribosomal RNA". It matches the Rfam family "Bacterial small subunit ribosomal RNA", at positions 509 to 807 of the family's 1533-position model. The record is from RNAcentral.